Molecule: ribosomal RNA, 429 nt
Filed under: Chloroflexota bacterium
Lineage: Bacteria; Bacillati; Chloroflexota
Description: Chloroflexi bacterium partial 16S ribosomal RNA
Rfam family: Bacterial small subunit ribosomal RNA
Source: RNAcentral
UGGGGAAUAUUGCACAAUGGGCGCAAGCCUGAUGCAGCCAUGCCGCGUGUGUGAAGAAGGCCUUCGGGUUGUAAAGCACUUUCAGCGGGGAGGAAGGCGGUGAGGUUAAUAACCUCAUCGAUUGACGUUACCCGCAGAAGAAGCACCGGCUAACUCCGUGCCAGCAGCCGCGGUAAUACGGAGGGUGCAAGCGUUAAUCGGAAUUACUGGGCGUAAAGCGCACGCAGGCGGUCUGUCAAGUCGGAUGUGAAAUCCCCGGGCUCAACCUGGGAAAUGCAUUCGAAACUGGCAGGAUAGAGUCUUGUAGAGGGGGGUAGAAUUCCAGGUGUAGCGGUGAAAUGCGUAGAGAUCUGGAGGAAUACCGGUGGCGAAGGAGGCCCCCUGGACAAAGACUGACGCUCAGGUGCGAAAGCGUGGGGAGCAAACAGG